AAGCUUAAAAUGAUUUUUUUUCUUGAAGUUUGUAUAAUGCUUAAGAGAACUUUAACAUUUUAGAAUCUGACAGUCUUUAAAAUUUACAAAGGUAACUGACUUCAGCCUUAUGUCUUUUAACAGUAUAAAAGUAUUUGGUUUGGUUAACAAACAAUACUGGAAUGUUUAAGAGAAAUUAUGACUCACUAUAUUUACCAAGUUUCAUUUAUUAAUAUUAACAGAGUUUUAAGUAUCCAAGAAAAACCUGCUUGUUGAAAUUUUACAUUUAUUCUGUAAGGUAUGUAAUGUGCUAAAAAAUAAAAUGAAAUCCAGUAUAUGUGUAAAUACAAAGAAUGUA
RNAcentral lists this long non-coding RNA (337 nucleotides) under Bos taurus (domestic cattle). RNAcentral describes it as "long non-coding RNA NONBTAT018578". The record is from RNAcentral. Lineage: Eukaryota; Metazoa; Chordata; Mammalia; Artiodactyla; Bovidae.